CAGCCGUAAACGAUGCGCGUUAGGUGUAUCGACGACCACGAGUCGUCGAGGUGCCGAAGGGAAACCGUGAAACGUGCCGCCUGGGAAGUACGGUCGCAAGGCUGAAACUUAAAGGAAUUGGCGGGGGAGGCACCACAACAGGUGGAGCCUGCGGUUUAAUUUGGACUCAACGCCGGAAAUCUCACCGGAUAAGACAGCAGAAUGAUUGCCGGGCUGAAGACUCUGCAUGACUAGCUGAGAGGUGGUGCAUGGCGUCAGUGACU
Molecule: ribosomal RNA, 263 nt
Filed under: uncultured archaeon
Lineage: Archaea
Description: partial 16S ribosomal RNA
Rfam family: Archaeal small subunit ribosomal RNA
Source: RNAcentral